GACUGCUCAAUUGUUAGAGCGUCUGCCUUGAAUGCGGGAGGUCGCAGGUUCGAACUCCGGCUGAGUCA
Molecule: non-coding RNA, 68 nt
Organism: Potamilus streckersoni
Lineage: Eukaryota; Metazoa; Mollusca; Bivalvia; Unionida; Unionidae
Source: the annotation of a GenBank genome assembly